Dreissena polymorpha is the source of this 1505-nucleotide long non-coding RNA. RefSeq lists it as uncharacterized. The transcript has 4 exons. The record is from RefSeq and is a predicted model, not a curated record. Lineage: Eukaryota; Metazoa; Mollusca; Bivalvia; Myida; Dreissenidae.
AGCAACAACAACAACAAAUAUGGCGGAAUCUGUAUUGUCAAACACGGAAGAAGAAGGAUACAACCAUAAUUAAACCAAGAAGUUUAUGAAGAAGGGAUCACUGGAUUUUGUCACUUUGGUACAAGAAACAGAAAAGGAUAUCAUAGACCACCUUACUUAUACGGAAGCAUAGGAGCUGUUGAAGGAAAUUGCUGCCAGACAGUCAGCAGUUAUCACCGACAGCCUGUCCUGGCCCAGCUUGGACCAUCCUCAAGCUAACCAUGAUGGUGUGUUUGCAAGAAUUGUUCAUUUGGUAGACCAUGAUGAAGACCAGCUUUGUUGUGGCAUGGCCUGACAAUACUGUACAAGCCAGAGACCAAAAAAGGGUUAAGUGGUGACUGAUCCUCUCACCCUCCUUAUCCAGGAAACAUUUCGGAACAACGUGUUGGCACUGAAGAUGUGGAGGACACAGAUUGAUCACAGUACAUCCUUUGGAUACAUGGACACCUUCAACGUGACGACAACAAAACUGUACCUGCCUUUUUUUUGAAAGGAAGUAGUUAAUAAAAUUAUUGUUAACAGCUUUUUUAGUCUUGUUGUUUAAGAAUGCUUGCAACAUUUAAGUGGAUAAACGGUUGUUUUAAAUUUGAAUCUUCAGUAAUGCAUUCUUUAUUAAAUGAUGUAAUCUUAUUUCUUUCAAUAUAGUGUAAAUAAUAAGAACAUAAUUAUCCUUUGUAUACAAAAUGAAAACCAAGUUUACUGUUCUAUUAAUCAUUAUUUAUUUAUCUUGUUCUUUUGUCAGAAAUAUUACAGGGGCAUACAUACAGUAUUCCUUAAAUAAAAGGGGCAGUUCUUAGAAAAUUAACAUGUGUUUUAGCAAUGCAUAUUCACACUUUUUCCACAUUUAUAACCAGCAACAAUAUGUAAGUAGUAUAAUGUAACACAAAUUAAUACUAUGAAUUUACUACUGAUUUUGCCGUGCCUGUCAUCAAACAUGUUUGACUGAAAGUUUCUUAAAAGAUGUUAUGUGGAAGACUUAAUCAAUCAUUUAAUAAAUAUUUGAGCCACGCUCUGGGAAAGGGGGUUUAAUGCAUGUACUUAAGGUUGUCCAAGAUUAGGCUGUGCAGACUGCACAGGCUAAUCAGGGGCAACACUUUCCGCCUUAUCUGGAUUUUCUCUAAGAGACUCCAUUUCAACAAGAAAUACAAUAAAGCAGCAAUUGUCUGCCUGAUUGGUAUAAUAAGCACAUGUUUAUCUCGUACGACAAUUUACGCACAUGCAUUAAGCCCCAUUUUCCCAGGGCAAGGCUCACCUAUUUAGGUUUUAGCUGUCUAUAUGCUCUUUAACUUUUGAAUCAUGAUGCAGUUUCAUAUAAUAAUGUAUUAUGAGUUGUUUUUAAUUGAUGCAUAUUCUUUUGUUCAGUGUUGAACUCAACAUGUAUUAUAAUAAGGUGUUCACUUAACAUUCUUGCAGUAAUGCUUUGCUGUGUAAUAUACAUGUAAUAAUAAAUCAAAAUUGAACAACUA